Homo sapiens (human) is the source of this 2278-nucleotide long non-coding RNA. RefSeq lists it as uncharacterized. NCBI's taxonomy places the organism in Eukaryota, Metazoa, Chordata, Mammalia, Primates, Hominidae. The record is from RefSeq and is a predicted model, not a curated record. The transcript has 4 exons.
GUGAUUCUCCUGCCUCAGCCUCCUGAGUAGCUGGGAUUACAGGUAAUGAAUUUCCCCAGUCCAACUUAUUGAAUAAUCAUUGUCCUGAAGUAGUUAAUGGAUUUGAGUUACAGCUCGGCAAAUUCCACAAAGAAAAUAAAACAGCACAAGGUCCCCACAGAGCGACGGGAGGCAGGAAAGGGGAAGUCCAUGCCACCAGAGGAAUAGUUUCAUUGAACGCUUGAUCUUUGAGCCGAACUCAGAAGGAGCCACCCCUGUAAAGGUCUAUAGGCUGAUUAAACUUGAUGGGUUCUGGAGAUGCCGAGGAAGAGAGGCAGCAUCACCUACUUGCCUGGACUCUAGAUGGGCAGCUGAUCAUCUUGGACAGACUGCUGGAUGCUGUACCCAGGGUGGUCACUCCCAGACACCAUAGAAAAUGCAAUCCUGGAUGGAAGACCAAGCAAAUAAAAUGAGCUGUUUUCUCAUGAGCCAGUGUGAAAGACUCAGGUCGAACCAACCGUAAGGAGUCAUGGACAUCUUGUGUGUCUCUUCUCAGACUGUUUUCCAAUGGGGAAAAGGGUGGAGGGUGCUCAGUCUCAAACUAGCCUUGAAAGAAGAUGAAAAGACGUGACCAAAGGUGACAAGAAGAACAAGAAAAGGUUGGUGAAAGAACCAUAAAACUUCCCUAACAUGAAGACAUUAAGAUGCUGCAUGCAGAAGAGGUGGGGCUUGUAAAAGGUGAGAGUAAAGACAAAUAUAUAAAUGAAGAUAUUUGGAGGCGAUGGUCAAGGCCAGAACUUCUCUGCCUAGAUAAGGAGGACAUCUCACCCCUCAGGCUGAGGUUGUUGCUGAGAGACAGAGUGGAAUGGUAUUUCCAUUUUUCUAACUCUCAGAAUCCAGCCCUCCAAUCCAGCCCACAAAUAAUCUUGCCUAAUUUUUUCAUGCGAAUAGAAAUCUUGCAUUUUUUGUGAACCUUGAAAUACAUUUGGUUCUCAAGUUCGGGGGAUCAUGUUAUAUUUUGAAAUAAAAAUUGUCGUAAUUGGAUUAGGCUCAAUUGCAGUUGUAGUAAGACUGGCUUUGGGUAUGGAAUAUAAAUGAGGUCAGCUUAAAGGAAGUAAUUCAUUCCUCUAAUGACAACAUCUUGGUCUAUGAAAUGAAAAAAGAUCAAAGCUCAUUCAAAAAUAAAUGGAUUUAAUGGAACAGUAGUUAAAGAAGUCUGGAGAAUUCAUUUUAUUUUCAUUGUAUAAUAUCUGUUUCUCAUAGAGUUGUCUUGUUCUUUAGUACUUUUUAUUCUUAUGACUGUGCAUGGGUUUGAUUAGCUUAAUUAGAGUUAAUGUCUUGGGAGCAGAAUGUGGGACUGUGAAAGUUUGGGUUCCUGAAGACUUUGAAAAGAGAACUGUUGGCCUCGUUCUACAUAAAUUCAGAAUCGAAAAUGUCUGAUGGUUAUUAUCAUCUUAAAGUAAUUGAAGCACUGCUAAAAAUAAAAACCAGAAGGAGAAAAAUUGAACCCGAAUAAAAGAAAUGGAGUUAUCCCAGAUUUGGAUACAAUUCUCUCGGCAAAUUGAGCUUAAAUCUGAAGUCUUAGGAAAUAGAAUGAAUGCCAAAAAAUUAUUUUUCCCCCUGUGUGCUGUUAACAAGGGCAGUCUCUUCGUUUUCACAGUAUUUCCUUCUAUUUUCCUCCUGUUGUCUGUGGCUCCACUUUAGGUUAGUAGGGACUUUAGAGGGAAAUACCACUUCAGAUUAAAGUCUUGUCAGAUCUCAUUUAUUAACUGGCAUGGGGUCUGGUGUCCUGGAGCGAGAAGGUCUCCUGAGGAAGCAUUUGUUGUGAGCCUCUCUUGCAGGGACUGAGUUUGGAGCAGGACUUUCCAGGAGCCGUCCUGUGUUAGGAGGAGACGAAGUUCCACAAAACUAGGACCCAAGAGAGGAUUAAGUAUUUUGAUCCUAAAAAGAAAAGGGUUGAGGGAUGAGGUGGGGAGGGAGAUGUUCCAAAAUGUUUUACUUUGAGCUGGGCAUGGUGGCGGGUGUCUGUAAUCUCAGCUACUUGGGAGACUGAGGCAGGAGAAUCACUUAAACCCGGGAGGUGGAGGUUGCAGUGAGCCAACAUCACGCCACUGCACUCCAGCUGGGUGACAAGAGUGAAACUCCAUCUCAAAUAAAUAAAUAAAUUAAUUAAAAUGUUUUACUUUGAUAACCUGGCCUUUGCAUUCUUUGCAUUAUGUGAAAUAAGCUUUAAUCAAUGGUAAUAUAUGAAAUAACAUUGCUUCGGUCAUUCAAUAAAUAUUUAUAAGUUAAAAAAAUA